GCUGGGCAUGGUGGUGCACACCUGUAAUCCCAGUAGCUCCAGAGGCUGAGGCAGGAGGAUCAUGAGUUCAGAGCCAGCCUCAGCAAAAGCGAGGUGCUAAGCAACUCAGUGAGACCCUGUCUCUA
Molecule: small RNA, 125 nt
Filed under: Marmota monax (woodchuck)
Lineage: Eukaryota; Metazoa; Chordata; Mammalia; Rodentia; Sciuridae
Source: RNAcentral